This 246-nucleotide ribosomal RNA is filed under the name Clostridioides difficile. RNAcentral's name for it is "partial 16S ribosomal RNA". It matches the Rfam family "Bacterial small subunit ribosomal RNA", at positions 314 to 577 of the family's 1533-position model. Lineage: Bacteria; Bacillati; Bacillota; Clostridia; Peptostreptococcales; Peptostreptococcaceae. The record is from RNAcentral.
UGGAACUGAGACACGGUCCAAACUCCUACGGGAGGCAGCAGGGGGGAAUAUUGCACAAUGGGCGAAAGCCUGAUGCAGCAACGCCGCGUGAGUGAUGAAGGCCUUCGGGUCGUAAAACUCUGUCCUCAAGGAAGAUAAUGACGGGACUUGAGGAGGAAGCCCCGGCUAACUACGUGCCAGCAGCCGCGGUAAUACGUAGGGGGCUAGCGUUAUCCGGAUUUACUGGGCGUAAAGGGUGCGUAGGCG